CCUACGGGAGGCAGCAGUGAGGAAUAUUGGUCAAUGGUCGCAAGACUGAACCAGCCAUGCCGCGUGCAGGAAGACGGCCCUAUGGGUUGUAAACUGCUUUUAUAUAGGAAGAAACCUUUUUACGUGUAGAAAGCUGACGGUACUAUAUGAAUAAGCACCGGCUAACUCCGUGCCAGCAGCCGCGGUAAUACGGAGGGUGCAAGCGUUAUCCGGAUUUAUUGGGUUUAAAGGGUCCGUAGGCGGACUUAUAAGUCAGUGGUGAAAUCCUGCAGCUCAACUGUAGAACUGCCAUUGAUACUGUAAGUCUUGAAUUCGGUUGAAGUGGGCGGAAUAUGGCAUGUAGCGGUGAAAUGCUUAGAUAUGCCAUAGAACACCGAUUGCGUAGGCAGCUCACUAAGCCUGGAUUGACGCUGAGGGACGAAAGCGUGGGUAGCGAACAGGAUUAGAUACCCUGGUAGUCCACGACCGUAACGAUAGAUACUCACAUAGNGAUAUACGUUAGUGUNUAUAGACGAAGACGAGUUAAGUUAAGUACCGACCGUAACGGGGUAGGUACGGUUAGUU
Molecule: ribosomal RNA, 564 nt
Filed under: uncultured bacterium
Lineage: Bacteria
Description: bacterial SSU rRNA
Rfam family: Bacterial small subunit ribosomal RNA
Source: RNAcentral